UGAGUUUGAUCAUGGCUCAGGAUGAACGCUAGCGGCAGGCUUAACACAUGCAAGUCGAGGGGCAGCAUGUCCAGCAAUGGAUGAUGGCGACCGGCGGAAGGGUGCGUAACGCGUGAGCAACAUGCCCUAUACAGGGAGAUACACCAGGGAAACUUGGUCUAAUAUCCCAUAGCAUUCAUUGAAGGCAUCUUUAAUGAAUUAAAGCUUCGGUGGUAUAGGAUUGGCUCGCGUGACAUUAGCCAGAUGGUGAGGUAACGGCUCACCAUAGCAAUGAUGUCUAGGGGUUUUGAGAGGAAGGCCCCCCACACUGGGACUGAGACACGGCCCAGACUCCUACGGGAGGCAGCAGUGAGGAAUAUUGCGCAAUGGGGGAAACCCUGACGCAGCGACGCCGCGUGAGCGAAGAAGGCCUUAGGGUCGUAAAGCUCUGUUGUAAGGGACGAAUGUUUAUCUGGCUAACAGUCAGAUAAAGUGACGGUACCUUACCAGCAAGCCCCGGCUAACUACGUGCCAGCAGCCGCGGUAA
Molecule: ribosomal RNA, 526 nt
Filed under: uncultured bacterium
Lineage: Bacteria
Description: bacterial SSU rRNA
Rfam family: Bacterial small subunit ribosomal RNA
Source: RNAcentral